UGAUGAGCUACUUUUGCAGAAAAUAUAAGAACAAUAAUAAUUCUGGAAAAAUGCAAUAAAUUAACAGAAUAUAUUACGAGGCAUUGUAAACAAUAGCUGUGGUGAUUUUAAGACCACUAAAUAACAGUUCCAUUACGGGGUUAAUUUUACUCAUAGUCUCUCAUACAUGAUUGUAUCAAUAUCAUUCCUCAACUUCAAUUUGUAUCAUAAAAAUUCCCGAAUUUCAUUUUAAGUAUCACUAAAAUCCCUCUAACCUGCUAUUACAGGUUUCCAG
This 274-nucleotide unclassified non-coding RNA is filed under the name Hevea brasiliensis (rubber tree). The record is from RNAcentral. Lineage: Eukaryota; Viridiplantae; Streptophyta; Magnoliopsida; Malpighiales; Euphorbiaceae.